Non-coding RNA from Bactrocera oleae (olive fruit fly), 1945 nucleotides. Lineage: Eukaryota; Metazoa; Arthropoda; Insecta; Diptera; Tephritidae. The record is from RefSeq and is a predicted model, not a curated record.
CCACCAAACAUAAAUAUGUAAGGUCAUCUGCUAUAUGACCUUGGCGCAGAAAUAUUUCGUGUUUCAAUUCCCAUAUAGUUCCUACUUAAUGGAAAUGCAUUGGGCAACUUGUAUGUAGUUUGUUAUUGUGAUUUGUAUAAUAUUUGCCAUUUCUCACCUUCGCCAUAAUAAAAACCAAAAUUCGUUUCACCCAAUUUGCUUAAGACUUGUUGUUGCAUAAUUCGAGGUUCACAAAAAUUGUACGAGUGCUUCUAUUUAAGUUAUUGUAAUCCUCAUUUUCUCGGCUAGUACAUUGUAGCAGUUCGUAAACAAAGCUUUCGUAAGAGAGAAUCGUUAGCUGUACAGUGUUUUUGCUAUACAAAUAUCAUUAAAUUUUGUGCGUGAGCUAAUUUGUUUUUAUUUUUCAUUUGCGUGCCCAUGCUUGCCAUUCAGUGCUACGUUGUUUGAAGUAAUGGAGCUUACAAUUAAAUAGCGAGUACGAAAAGUAGCAUCAGGCAACAUCAAACAAUGGCAGCUGAUGUAAACACAAUUCCAUUUCAUAUGAUAUGUUCUAUAUUAUAUCGAACACUUUGUUUACUAAUUGGUGUAAAGUACCAGGCGAUCAUAAAAGGAAGUUCGAAUAAUACAACAACAAGAUUUCGACGAAACAAAGCUUUGCUGUAAAUACUGCAUAAAGUAACAUUUUUAGUAUUUGUUGUUUACGGAACAACCUGGACAUUUGGAACAACAAUAAUAUUUGAGAAUGUGAUAAACAAAGUAAAUGAUGAAACAACACUUUUUGCAUUUUAGUUAGUGCACUUUCAUUGCGAUUGCGUUAUGUAAGACAAGCCGAGCUUUGUUAUGCAUUAUUAUCGACGAUUUCAUAAUUUUAUAGUUGAUUCCUACCUACUCUUUACUUAGAACGCUAAGCACUGCAUCAGGAGAAAAAAACUUCUUUGAUGUGAUCACUGCUACUUUUUUUAUUUAUCCUCAAAUUUUCCCUAGAUUUUAUAUAAGAAUUUGCCGCAAUAUAUCAUACGACUAUAUAAUAAUCACAAGAAGUAAAUUUACCUGAAAUCAUAAAUAACAAAUUAUAUAUAGGUAUGCACUUUUUAAUGAUCGGUUUAGUUAUAGAAAUGAUUUGAGAAUUGGAGCUAAUGUCUGUUGUUAAGUCUCUCGAGAGUUAUAAAUUGGAAGGAAUUUUUUUAUAUUUGAAACAACUACUGCACUCUUAUGCGUGCAUGUUAGAAAGCGUUGUUUUCUGCCUUGCUGAAAUUAUAUUUUACUGCACACACAUCCGUGCCAUAAUUUUUCUCGCCUCUUUAAACUAUUUUCAUAUAUUUUGUAUGCACAAUCAUGGCGGUUCACUAGGCAAUCAUAAAGGGUACAGCUAAUAAAUAUAACUUAAAUUUAUAAUAACAAAAUAUAUGCUGUGCAUUGUGUUGUUUUGUAACAGGUUUUAAGGAAGAAUUUUUAUUGUCCGAGAAUGCUGGCGAAUAUGACAGUUAGCAAUAUACAUACAAAUUAAUGUUUCGAAUAACUUGCUACUGUCUGUUUUGUGUGCGUGGUAAAAAGCGACACUGCCUUACUUUACAACUUAUUGGAAUUUCAUAGCAAAUGAUUUUUUUAUGCUAGUUAACGCUUUUUCGUCCAUUUGCUAUGUUUGGACAUACUUGCGUGAAAGCUCUUCGCGAUAUAUCAGGCGAUCAUAUGAUAAAUGUAGAGAGGGAGAAAAUGAGAAAUGACAAAGUCGAUAUCAAAAUGCGAACUUUUGCAAUUAUUAUUGUUUUAGGAAUAAUUGGAAACUGAAAGCAAUGGAUGUUGCAGGUGGUAAUUUCAAUAUAUUUGCGACACCUACUGCACUGUUUUGUGCGCCUAGUGGAAACACUUCUUCGAGCUUUAUUUACUAAAAAAGUUUCUUCAAACGAUACAUAAUAAAAAAAAAAAAAAAAUUCUGUGCGACAAA